AACGAACGCUGGCGGCAUGCCUAACACAUGCAAGUCGAACGAAGCCUUCGGGCUUAGUGGCGCACGGGUGCGUAACGCGUGGGAAUCUGCCCUUUGGUUCGGAAUAACAGUUGGAAACGACUGCUAAUACCGGAUGAUGACGAAAGUCCAAAGAUUUAUCGCCAGAGGAUGAGCCCGCGUAGGAUUAGCUAGUUGGUGUGGUAAAGGCGCGCCAAGGCGACGAUCCUUAGCUGGUCUGAGAGGAUGAUCAGCCACACUGGGACUGAGACACGGCCCAGACUCCUACGGGAGGCAGCAGUGGGGAAUAUUGGACAAUGGGCGAAAGCCUGAUCCAGCAAUGCCGCGUGAGUGAUGAAGGCCCUAGGGUUGUAUAGCUCUUUUACCCGGGAUGAUAAUGACAGUACCGGGAGAAUAAGCCCCGGCUAACUCCGUGCCAGCCGCCGCGGUAA
This 449-nucleotide ribosomal RNA is filed under the name uncultured bacterium. RNAcentral's name for it is "partial 16S ribosomal RNA". It matches the Rfam family "Bacterial small subunit ribosomal RNA", at positions 29 to 523 of the family's 1533-position model. The record is from RNAcentral.